UACAGAGGUCUCAAGCGUUUGUUCGGAUUCAUUGGGCGUAAAGGGUGCGUAGGCGGCGCGGUAAGUCGGGGUGUGAAAUCUCGGGGCUUAACUCCGAAACUGCAUUCGAUACUGCCGUGCUUGAGGACUGGAGAGGAGACUGGAAUUUACGGUGUAGCGGUGAAAUGCGUAGAUAUCGUAAGGAAGACCAGUGGCGAAGGCGGGUCUCUGGACAGUUCCUGACGCUGAGGCACGAAGGCCAGGGGGAGCAAACGGGG
Molecule: ribosomal RNA, 257 nt
Filed under: uncultured bacterium
Lineage: Bacteria
Description: partial 16S ribosomal RNA
Rfam family: Bacterial small subunit ribosomal RNA
Source: RNAcentral